CCUACGGGGGGCAGCAGUGGGGAAUAUUGGACAAUGGGGGGAACCCGGAUCCAGCCAUGCCGCGUGUGUGAAGAAGGCCCUCGGGUUGUAAAGCACUUUCAGUGAGGAAGAACGCCUGGUGGUUAAUACCCAUCAGGAAAGACAUCACUCACAGAAGAAGCACCGGCUAACUCCGUGCCAGCAGCCGCGGUAAUACGGAGGGUGCGAGCGUUAAUCGGAAUUACUGGGCGUAAAGCGCGCGUAGGUGGCUUGAUAAGCCGGUUGUGAAAGCCCCGGGCUCAACCUGGGAACGGCAUCCGGAACUGUCAAGCUAGAGUGCAGGAGAGGAAGGUAGAAUUCCCGGUGUAGCGGUGAAAUGCGUAGAGAUCGGGAGGAAUACCAGUGGCGAAGGCGGCCUUCUGGACUGACACUGACACUGAGGUGCGAAAGCGUGGGUAGCAAACAGGAUUAGAUACCCGAGUAGUC
Molecule: ribosomal RNA, 465 nt
Filed under: Vreelandella stevensii
Lineage: Bacteria; Pseudomonadati; Pseudomonadota; Gammaproteobacteria; Oceanospirillales; Halomonadaceae
Description: partial 16S ribosomal RNA
Rfam family: Bacterial small subunit ribosomal RNA
Source: RNAcentral